This 429-nucleotide ribosomal RNA is filed under the name Pseudomonadota bacterium. Its description in RNAcentral is "Proteobacteria bacterium partial 16S ribosomal RNA". It matches the Rfam family "Bacterial small subunit ribosomal RNA", at positions 355 to 776 of the family's 1533-position model. The record is from RNAcentral. Lineage: Bacteria; Pseudomonadati; Pseudomonadota.
UGGGGAAUAUUGGACAAUGGGCGAAAGCCUGAUCCAGCCAUGCCGCGUGUGUGAAGAAGGUCUUCGGAUUGUAAAGCACUUUAAGUUGGGAGGAAGGGCAGUAAGCGAAUACCUUGCUGUUUUGACGUUACCGACAGAAUAAGCACCGGCUAACUCUGUGCCAGCAGCCGCGGUAAUACAGAGGGUGCAAGCGUUAAUCGUAAUUACUGGGCGUAAAGCGCGCGUAGGUGGUUCGUUAAGUUGAAUGUGAAAGCCCCGGGCUCAACCUGGGAACUGCAUCCAAAACUGGCGAGCUAGAGUAGGGCAGAGGGUGGUGGAAGUUCCUGUGUAGCGGUGAAAUGCGUAGAUAUAAGAAGGAACACCAGUGGCGAAGGCGACCACCUGGGCUCAUACUGACACUGAGGUGCGAAAGCGUGGGGAGCAAACAGG